This 492-nucleotide ribosomal RNA is filed under the name uncultured bacterium. RNAcentral describes it as "partial 16S ribosomal RNA". It matches the Rfam family "Bacterial small subunit ribosomal RNA", at positions 29 to 507 of the family's 1533-position model. The record is from RNAcentral.
AGUGAACGCUGGCGGUAGGCCUAACACAUGCAAGUCGAACGGCAGCACAGUAAGAGCUUGCUCUUACGGGUGGCGAGUGGCGGACGGGUGAGGAAUACAUCGGAAUCUACUUUUUCGCGGGGGAUAACGUAGGGAAACUUACGCUAAUACCGCAUACGACCUACGGGUGAAAGCAGGGGAUCUUCGGACCUUGCGCGAUUGAAUGAGCCGAUGUCGGAUUAGCUAGUUGGCGGGGUAAAGGCCCACCAAGGCGACGAUCCGUAGCUGGUCUGAGAGGAUGAUCAGCCACACUGGAACUGAGACGCGGUCCAGACUCCUACGGGAGGCAGCAGUGGGGAAUAUUGGACAAUGGGCGCAAGCCUGAUCCAGCCACACCGCGUGGGUGAAGAAGGCCUUCGGGUUGUAAAGCCCUUUUGUUGGGAAAGAAAAGCAGCAGGUUAAUACCCCGCUGUUCUGACGGUACCCAAAGAAUAAGCACCGGCUAACUUCGUG